Molecule: ribozyme, 277 nt
Organism: Camelus dromedarius (Arabian camel)
Lineage: Eukaryota; Metazoa; Chordata; Mammalia; Artiodactyla; Camelidae
Rfam family: RNase MRP
About the family: RNase MRP is an enzymatically active ribonucleoprotein with two distinct roles in eukaryotes. In mitochondria it plays a direct role in the initiation of mitochondrial DNA replication. In the nucleus it is involved in precursor rRNA processing, where it cleaves the internal transcribed spacer 1 between 18S and 5.8S rRNAs.
Source: Ensembl
GCUCGUGCUGAAGGCCUGUUUCCUAGGCAACACACGAGGGACUAGUUCCUUACUUUCGCCUAGGGGAAAGUCCCCGGACCUCUGGCAGAGAGUGCCGCGUGCGCGUGCACGUAGACCUCCCCCUACUUCCACGGUUAAAACCGCCAAGAAGCGAACCCGCCCUUGCGGGGAGCCGAGCGGCGUGCUGUAGGUGGUUGUCAUCCGUCAGAUCUUAAAGUUACGCAGGCAGUGCGCCUUACGCGCGUACCAACCACACGGGGCUCAUUCUCAGCGCGGC